Molecule: ribosomal RNA, 2602 nt
Filed under: Triticum aestivum (bread wheat)
Lineage: Eukaryota; Viridiplantae; Streptophyta; Magnoliopsida; Poales; Poaceae
Description: partial small subunit ribosomal RNA
Source: RNAcentral
UCUUCCCGCGUUAAAGGGGACAAAUCAAGCUGCUCAUUCCAUCAUUGGUUCUACCGUCCUACGCUGCUCCAUUCCAUCAUCUCCCCCUUGUAUUCUCCAGAGAAAAUCUUUUUCAUUCGUUAUCAGCAACUUUGUUCCGUAUAAGGGUUUAUCUCUCGUGUGUUUUCGUCGCAAAAAAAGUGUUGAUUCUCAACUUGAAACUGGAAGGGCACAGCGAACCUCUAAUGGAUGUGGAGCCAUGGGCUAUAUCCUUCCGCUUUCUAAGAGACACUACAAAUGAUUUCUCUGAAGAGCGAGUGAUUGGCCAAGGUGGAUAUGGCAUUGUUUACAAGGGGGUCGAUAGGGAUGGACCGGUCAUUGCUGUGAGGAAGCUCUAUCCCAUAAGAGAAAUUGAUGAUGAGCAGCUCCAGAAGGAGUUUACGGGCCUCAAGAUGCUCAAUCAUCCAAAUAUUGUACGAUUACUUGGCUACUGCUAUGAACAAGAACAAUUUCUUAUACCGUACAAAGAAAAAAAAAUAUUUGCUCCUCGAAAAAUUAGGUUGUUGUGCUUCGAGUACAUGAAAAAUGGAUCCCUUGAUCAGUACAUCAAAGAUGCUAGUUCUGGACUCAGUUGGCACGGACGGUACCAGAUAAUCAAGGGCAUAAGCGAAGGGUUAAGAUACCUCCACGAGGGAUCGAAGACUCCUAUUAUCCACAUGAAUCUAAAGCCUAGCAAUAUUUUGCUGGAUCAUAACAUGACACCGAAGAUAGCUGAUUUUGGUCUGCGAAGGCUCGUUGGAGAAGGAAACGCCAGAUGUAUCGGAACAAUUGGAUACAUGUCGCCGGAAUUCAUUGAAAGACAAGUAAUCUCGCAUAAGUGUGACAUAUAUAGCCUUGGUGUUAUAAUCAUAAAGCUGAUAACAGGGGAGAGAUUAUAUUCGGGGCAUUUUGAUAUGUCUUCAGAUAGGUUUAUCGAGCUGGCGCAUGAAGAAUGGAGGGAGAGGCUACAGAAAACUUUGAAUGGUAUGUCAGUUGAAGGAUAUUCCCAGCAAAUUAAGAAAUGCUUGGAGAUAGCACUGAAAUGCGUGGAGUUAGACAGACACGAGAGGCCCUCCAUCGGAGAUAUCAUAGAUAGGCUGAACGAAACUGAAACCUUGAUUCCAGAAGAAGUUCGAGCAGUACAUAACCGGAUUGAUUCAACACACUCUGAGCUGCUUGAAGUCCACCCACAAGAGCUCUACUUCCCAUUCAUGUUGAAAGGAAGAUACGAGGCCAUGAGCUCCUGCUCGCUGCAGCUAAAGAACAGAGGAGACAACCGCGUGGCAUUCAUGCUUGUAGCCAGCAACCCCGAUAGAUACUUGACGAAGAUACCGCUCUGCGGCAUUGUGCCUCCAAGGUGCGUCUACACUCUCAGUCUCACAAUGCUCCAGCAGACAGCAUCAACAUCAUCAUCGGACAGCAGCGACUUCUUCACACUGUACACCACCGCAGUGGGACAACACGACCUCCUAGAUGUUCCCAAAGAUGUUGUCUCCGUUGAGUAUGACUACUUCUUUAAGAAAGCCCAAAAGAUGCCCGGUGCCAGAGAUAAGGUGCAAGUGGCGACGUUGAAGGUCAUCUGUGAUCGACCAGCCACCAAAUCUGCAGGGAGAUCACCUUCGCCCGAGGUCAUAAUCAGGUCGGAUGCUCAGCAAGUUUCAUCCAUAGAUGUGCAUCCAACGGAACCAUGGAUUAUGGCAACGAAUCGCUUGGGAAACCUUUGUGUUUGGAACUACAAUACAAUGGCACCGUUGAACUCAAUUGGAGACAUCACAGAUGAACCAGUUCAUAUGGCAAAAUAUAUCGCACGGAAAAAGUGGCUCGUGGCGGGUGAUGGCAACGGGGGCAUCCACGUGUACAACUACGACAAGAACCAACACGUCAAGAGCUUCGAGGCUCAUGAAAGUUGCAUCACAACUUUGGCCGUCCAUCGGGCACGUCCUUUUAUCUUGUCUUCGUCUUCUGAGGACAAUGAUCACCUGAUCAAGCUUUGGGAUUGGGACAAAGAGUGGAAAUGUACUCGAACAUUUCAGGGCCACACUGAGAGGGUAACACAAGCAACGUUUAACCCACAAGACAACGACAGUUUCGCUAGCGCUUCUUGGGAUGGCACGGUCAAGAUAUGGAGUAUUUGUCCUGAUGACGCCAACAUCAUCACACUGAAAUUGGAUGGGAAUGUAACCGAAGGCCUGCUUUGUGUUCAUUAUUUCACCCGUUUUAAUGGACAACAUCUGAUCGUGGGUUGUGAGGACAAGACAACACAGAUAUGGGAAUUGGGGAUGAAAGAAUGUGUUCAUAAGCUAAAAGGGAAUACAGACCAUAUUAGUGCCGCCAAAUGGCACCAAGGACUUGCGCUUUUAAUCACAGGUUCACUUGACGGAACCGUAAACUUGUGGAGCUCCAUUACCUAUAAGCUUGAGAACGUGAUCGAUUUCAACCUUGGUGCAGUUUAUGCUCUCGGAUGUAUAGAAGACUCAAGAAGGAUCGUGGUCGGAUGUCACCAAGGGAUAGCAAUAAUGGAUAUUUGGCACCAAUACAAGACAAACGGGAAAGGUAGAAAAUAUUGAUGGAAUCUUUGAUGCCG